GACACACGACUACUCAGAUGGGAU
Molecule: non-coding RNA, 24 nt
Filed under: Arabidopsis thaliana (thale cress)
Lineage: Eukaryota; Viridiplantae; Streptophyta; Magnoliopsida; Brassicales; Brassicaceae
Source: RNAcentral